This 113-nucleotide small nuclear RNA is filed under the name Propithecus coquereli (Coquerel's sifaka). Lineage: Eukaryota; Metazoa; Chordata; Mammalia; Primates; Indriidae. The record is from RNAcentral.
GUGCUCACUCUGUGGCAGCAUGUAUACUAAAAUUAGAACAGUACAGAGAUUAGCAUGGCCCCUGUACAAGGAUGACAUGCAAAUUCACAAGGCUUCCAUAUAAAUAAAUUUUU